GCCUGCGUAGCUCAGUGGUUGAGCGUCAGCCUGUGGACUGAAGGGUCCCGGGUUCGAUUCCGGUCAGGGGCA
RNAcentral lists this transfer RNA (72 nucleotides) under Myotis lucifugus (little brown bat). It matches the Rfam family "tRNA". Rfam says of the family: Transfer RNA (tRNA) molecules are approximately 80 nucleotides in length. Their secondary structure includes four short double-helical elements and three loops (D, anti-codon, and T loops). The record is from Rfam by way of RNAcentral. Lineage: Eukaryota; Metazoa; Chordata; Mammalia; Chiroptera; Vespertilionidae.